Molecule: non-coding RNA, 270 nt
Filed under: Amborella trichopoda
Lineage: Eukaryota; Viridiplantae; Streptophyta; Magnoliopsida; Amborellales; Amborellaceae
Description: Eukaryotic small subunit ribosomal RNA
Rfam family: Eukaryotic small subunit ribosomal RNA
Source: Rfam by way of RNAcentral
GUGUAAGUAUGAACUAAUUCUGACUGUGAAAUUGCGAAUGGCUCAUUAAAUCAGUUAUAGUUUGUUUGAUGGUACCUGCUACUUGGAUAACAGUGGUAAUUCUAGAGCUAAUACGUGCAAGAAAUCCCGACCUCUAGAAGGGAUGCAUUUAUUAGAUAAAAGGCUAGUCAUAUUCAUAAGGCCCACAUUAGAGGUUGUUAUUCGCAGGGAAAUAUUAUAGGAUUUGGUGUGCACUUGCGCCGCUGGUAGCGGCACGAUGCACAUGUCGGG